GACGAACGCUGGCGGCGUGCUUAACACAUGCAAGUCGAACGGUGAAGCUCCAGCUUGCUGGAGUGGAUCAGUGGCGAACGGGUGAGUAACACGUGAGCAACCUGCCCCUGACUCUGGAAUAAGCGCUGGAAACGGCGUCUAAUACUGGAUACGAGAAGGGUCCGCAUGGGCACUUUCUGGAAAGUUUUUCGGUUGGGGAUGGGCUCGCGGCCUAUCAGCUUGUUGGUGAGGUAAUGGCUCACCAAGGCGACGACGGGUAGCCGGCCUGAGAGGGCGACCGGCCACACUGGGACUGAGACACGGCCCAGACUCCUACGGGAGGCAACAGUGGGGAAUAUUGCACAAUGGGCGAAAGCCUGAUGCAGCGACGCCGCGUGAGGGAUGACGGCCUUCGGGUUGUAAACCUCUUUCAGCAGGGAAGAAGCGAAAGUGACGGUACCUGCAGAAGAAGCACCGGCUAACUACGU
RNAcentral lists this ribosomal RNA (467 nucleotides) under uncultured bacterium. RNAcentral's name for it is "partial 16S ribosomal RNA". It matches the Rfam family "Bacterial small subunit ribosomal RNA", at positions 28 to 506 of the family's 1533-position model. The record is from RNAcentral.